Molecule: ribosomal RNA, 433 nt
Filed under: uncultured bacterium
Lineage: Bacteria
Description: partial 16S ribosomal RNA
Rfam family: Bacterial small subunit ribosomal RNA
Source: RNAcentral
GACGAACGCUGGCGGCAGGCCUAACACAUGCAAGUCGAGCGGGCCCUUCGGGGUUAGCGGCGGUGGUGGGAUUAACACGGGGGAACGUACCCUUCUCUGCGGAGUCGCCGCCUGUGACUUAGCGUAAGACCGCAUACGCCCUUUGGGGGAAGGAGUUAUGGGGGAAGGGUCGGGGCGGGUUGGAUUAGGUGGUUGGUGGGGUAAUGGCACACCAAGCAGACGUUCCAUAGCUGGUGUGAGAGGAUGAUCAGCCACACUGGGACUGCGACACGGCCCACCCUCCUACGGGAGGCAGGAGUGGGGAAUCUUAGAGAAUGGGGGCAAACCUGAUAUAGCCAUGCGGGGUGAGUGAUGAAGGGCUUAGGGUUGUAAAGCUCUUUCAGCUGGGAAGAGAAUGACGGUAACAGCAGAAGAAGCACCGGCUAACUCCGUG